This is a long non-coding RNA of Octopus sinensis (East Asian common octopus), 686 nucleotides long. RefSeq lists it as uncharacterized. Lineage: Eukaryota; Metazoa; Mollusca; Cephalopoda; Octopoda; Octopodidae. The transcript has 2 exons. The record is from RefSeq and is a predicted model, not a curated record.
GAGAAGAAUAUAAGGAUAGGUAAAGGGAGAUAAUUAGUCUUUGAUGUCUUAUUUCAGGAGACGAGAGACGCAUGCGCAUUGAACGUGGUUUCUUCAUGACGUUAACUUCCGGGUCAAAUGUACCAUUGAAUGAAUUUCUUUUAAUCAGCUGAUAAUAAUAAUAAUACGUUUAUAAUACUUAAAAUACGUACUUAUAAUGCAUUUCUCAACUGCCAUAUACACACAUAUAUAAACAACACAGUCCUUUAUGAAACAUUUGCAACGUCAGAUGACAGAAGAAGAAUCCUAAAUAUCUAUAAUGUUUGAAAGACUAAAGGAAAAUAUUAUACAAAACUGUUUCUGCAAAUUUGAGGAAGAAUUCUUGUGAAACAUUUGCUCUGAAAUAACAUUUUAGUCAAAUUUCUAAACAUCACAGACUAGUGUGUCAAGAACUGAAGCAUAUGUGCCACUGGAACUUGGAUAAAUUUACGGAUGUUUUGCUAAACAAAGACAACAGUAGAAGGAAAUAGAGGAGAAGAAGUGUAAGGAAUAAAGUAUAAAAACAAGAGCAAGAAAAAUAUAUCAACUUGGAUUUGAGAGGAAAAGAAAUAGGAAAGAGAGAGAAAAUUAUUGAAUUGAUUUUCCCCUGAACACAUGAGAAAAUAGACGAGAUCAUAUGACUGUGAUAUCUGUACAAAGUCGUUCUC